UCCCUCUCAGGAUGACACCUGGAGAGUUUCCAGGACUCUACCAGUCUCGGCUGCGGGAGGGACAGUCUAGCAGAGGGCUACCCAUUCCAUUUCUAGCUCGGCCAGUGGCUAGUGAAUGGAAGGCCAUAUGCUACAAGU
This is a small nucleolar RNA of Ornithorhynchus anatinus (platypus), 138 nucleotides long. Lineage: Eukaryota; Metazoa; Chordata; Mammalia; Monotremata; Ornithorhynchidae. The record is from RefSeq and is a predicted model, not a curated record.